RNAcentral lists this ribosomal RNA (429 nucleotides) under Bacteroidota bacterium. RNAcentral describes it as "Bacteroidetes bacterium partial 16S ribosomal RNA". It matches the Rfam family "Bacterial small subunit ribosomal RNA", at positions 355 to 776 of the family's 1533-position model. Lineage: Bacteria; Pseudomonadati; Bacteroidota. The record is from RNAcentral.
UAGGGAAUCUUCCGCAAUGGACGCAAGUCUGACGGAGCAACGCCGCGUGAGUGAAGAAGGAUUUCGGUUCGUAAAACUCUGUUGUUAGAGAAGAACAGCGCAUAGCGUAACUGUUAUGCGUGUGACGGUAUCUAACCAGCAAGCCACGGCUAACUACGUGCCAGCAGCCGCGGUAAUAUGAAGGUGGCAAGCGUUGUCCGGAUUUAUUGGGCGUAAAGCGAGCGCAGGCGGUCAAUUAAGUCUGAGGUGAAAGCCACCGGCUCAACCGGGGAGGGUCGUUGGGAACGGGUUGACAUGAGUGCGGAAAAGGAGGGGGAAGUUCCAUGUGUGGCGGUGAAAUGCGUGGAUAUAUGGAGGACAACAAGUGGGGAGGGCGAGACUCUGGUCUGUAGCUGACGCUGAGGUUCAAAAGCGUGGGUAGCAAACAGG